UAUCUCUGUAGAGUCUGCAUAUCAAUAAGCGGAGGAAAAGAAACUAACAAGGAUUCCCUUAGUAACGGCGAGUGAAGCGGGAAGAGCUCAAAUUUGAAAUCUUCAAGGUUCUACCUUGACGAAUUGUAGUUUAUAGAAGUGUUUUCUGUUAGUAGAGUGGCAAAAGUUCUUUGGAAUAGGACAUCAUAGAGGGUGAGAAUCCCGUAUUUGGUCAUUCUUUCUAGCUUUGUGAUACACUUUCAACGAGUCGGAUUGUUUGGGAAUGCAGUCCAAAAUGGGUGGUAAAUUUCAUCUAAAGCUAAAUAUUGGCGAGAGACCGAUAGCGAACAAGUACCGUGAGGGAAAGAUGAAAAGAACUUUGAAAAGAGAGUUAAACAGUACGUGAAAUUGUCAAAAGGGAAGCGUUUGACACCAGUGUUGUUUUUCCGAAAAUCAAUUACGAAUGUUUUGUUUUUGAGAAGUUAUGACUUCAUCGGCUUGCUUCUUUCUUUACGAAACUUUCUUAAUGCACUUUUCGGUUAACAAGUCAACAUCAAUUUCUUUUGUUGUAAAAGGGUACGAGGAAGGUGGCUUUCUUUUCGGAGAAAGUGUUUAUAGCCUUGUGCCUCUGCAAUCGGAGAGAUUGAGGUCUGCAGCGUAGAUCCUUCGGGGUUAGAUACACCUGUGCUAAGUUAUAGCUUUUCAUAGACAACUUGUUGACUAUGUUUAGUCUUGUAGCUUACUCGCUUAUGCUAUUUUACCUACGCUUAGGAUGUUGAUGUGAUACUGCGAGCA
This 774-nucleotide ribosomal RNA is filed under the name uncultured Neocallimastigales. RNAcentral describes it as "partial large subunit ribosomal RNA". It matches the Rfam family "Eukaryotic large subunit ribosomal RNA", at positions 24 to 646 of the family's 3401-position model. The record is from RNAcentral. Lineage: Eukaryota; Fungi; Neocallimastigomycota; Neocallimastigomycetes; Neocallimastigales.